This 260-nucleotide long non-coding RNA is filed under the name Olea europaea subsp. europaea. The record is from RNAcentral. Lineage: Eukaryota; Viridiplantae; Streptophyta; Magnoliopsida; Lamiales; Oleaceae.
UUUGGAGUCAACAAUCAUUAUAAUCCCUUUGAUGAUUGUAUUUGUGUGAUAUUCUGGCUGAAAAUCUUGUAAAGAAAGCAAAUGAUCAAUCAUGGUAUUUUCACUCUUUUUAUGGCAUCGCUCAUCAAUGAGACCUUGCAAGAGUGAAUCCAUUUUCCCACCUACCCUAAUCAUAUUCUUCUGUAAUCCUUUGUAGCUACCCAUCUCAAAAGUGGAAGAAAAUCUCUUGGAUUUGAUGCCCCCACCAAGCGCAAAUUUGU